UAUAGAAGUGUUUUCCGUGCUGGCUCAUGUACAAGUCCCUUGGAACAGGGCGUCAUAGAGGGUGAGAAUCCCGUCCUUGACAUGAACUACCAGUGCUCUGUGAUACAUUUUCAACGAGUCGAGUUGUUUGGGAAUGCAGCUCAAAAUGGGUGGUAAAUUCCAUCUAAAGCUAAAUAUUGGCGAGAGACCGAUAGCGAACAAGUACCGUGAGGGAAAGAUGAAAAGCACUUUGGAAAGAGAGUUAAACAGUAUGUGAAAUUGUUGAAAGGGAAACGAUUGAAGUCAGUCGUGCUCUUUGGAUUCAGCCGGUUCUGCCGGUGUACUUCCUUUGAGUGGGGUCAACAUCAGUUUUGAUCGCUGGAUAAAGGCUGGAGGAACGUAGUACCCUCGGGUAAACUUAUAGCCUCCUGUCACAUACAGUGGUUGGGACUGAGGAACGCAGCACGCCUUUAUGGCCGGGAUUCGUCCACGUACGUGCUUAGGAUGUUGACAUAAUGGCUUUAAACGACC
This 510-nucleotide ribosomal RNA is filed under the name Filobasidium magnum. RNAcentral's name for it is "partial large subunit ribosomal RNA". It matches the Rfam family "Eukaryotic large subunit ribosomal RNA", at positions 151 to 649 of the family's 3401-position model. Lineage: Eukaryota; Fungi; Basidiomycota; Tremellomycetes; Filobasidiales; Filobasidiaceae. The record is from RNAcentral.